AUUGAACGCUGGCGGCAGGCCUAACACAUGCAAGUCGAGCGGCUGAAGGGAGCUUGCUCCUGCAUUCAGCGGCGGACGGGCGAGUAAUGCCUAGGAACCUGCCUGGUUGUGGGGGAUAACGUCCGGAAACGGGCGCUCAUACCGCAUACGUCCUGAGGGCGUAAGUGUGGGAUCUUCGGACCUCACGCUAUCAGAUGAGCCUAGGUCGGAUUAGCUAGUUGGCGGGGUAAAGGCCUACCAAGGCGACGAUCCGUAACUGGUCUGAGAGGAUGAUCAGUCACACUGGAACUGAGACACGGUCCAGACUCCUACGGGAGGCAGCAGUGGGGAAUAUUGGACAAUGGGCGAAAGCCUGAUCCAGCCAUGCCGCGUGUGUGAAGAAGGUCUUCGGAUUGUAAAGCACUUUAAGUUGGGAGGAAGGGCAGUAAGUUAAUACCUUGCUGUUUUGACGUUACCAACAGAAUAAGCACCGGCUAACUUCGUG
Molecule: ribosomal RNA, 484 nt
Filed under: uncultured bacterium
Lineage: Bacteria
Description: partial 16S ribosomal RNA
Rfam family: Bacterial small subunit ribosomal RNA
Source: RNAcentral